GACGAACGCUGGCGGCGUGCCUAAUACAUGCAAGUAGAACGCUGAAGGAGGAGCUUGCUUCUCUGGAUGAGUUGCGAACGGGUGAGUAACGCGUAGGUAACCUGCCUGGUAGCGGGGGAUAACUAUUGGAAACGAUAGCUAAUACCGCAUAAUAGUAGAUGUUGCAUGACAUUUGCUUAAAAGGUGCACUUGCAUCACUACCAGAUGGACCUGCGUUGUAUUAGCUAGUUGGUGGGGUAACGGCUCACCAAGGCGACGAUACAUAGCCGACCUGAGAGGGUGAUCGGCCACACUGGGACUGAGACACGGCCCAGACUCCUACGGGAGGCAGCAGUAGGGAAUCUUCGGCAAUGGACGGAAGUCUGACCGAGCAACGCCGCGGGAGUGAAGAAGGGUUUCGGAUCGUAAAGCUCUGUUGUAAGAGAAGAACGAGUGUGAGAGUGGAAAGUUCACACUGUGACGGUAUCUUACCAGAAAGGGACGGCUAACUACGUG
Molecule: ribosomal RNA, 495 nt
Filed under: uncultured bacterium
Lineage: Bacteria
Description: partial 16S ribosomal RNA
Rfam family: Bacterial small subunit ribosomal RNA
Source: RNAcentral